UACCUUCGGUGCCCGAGUUGUAAUUUGGAGAGGGCAACUUUGGGGCCGUUCCUUGUCUAUGUUCCUUGGAACAGGACGUCAUAGAGGGUGAGAAUCCCGUGUGGCGAGGAGUGCGGUUCUUUGUAAAGUGCCUUCGAAGAGUCGAGUUGUUUGGGAAUGCAGCUCUAAGUGGGUGGUAAAUUCCAUCUAAAGCUAAAUAUUGGCGAGAGACCGAUAGCGAACAAGUACAGUGAUGGAAAGAUGAAAAGAACUUUGAAAAGAGAGUGAAAAAGUACGUGAAAUUGUUGAAAGGGAAGGGCAUUUGAUCAGACAUGGUGUUUUGUGCCCUCUGCUCCUUGUGGGUAGGGGAAUCUCGCAUUUCACUGGGCCAGCAUCAGUUUUGGUGGCAGGAUAAAUCCAUAGGAAUGUAGCUUGCCUCGGUAAGUAUUAUAGCCUGUGGGAAUACUGCCAGCUGGGACUGAGGACUGCGACGUAAGUCAAGGAUGCUGGCAUAAUGGUUAUAUGCC
RNAcentral lists this ribosomal RNA (506 nucleotides) under Saccharomyces cerevisiae (brewer's yeast). RNAcentral's name for it is "eukaryotic LSU rRNA". It matches the Rfam family "Eukaryotic large subunit ribosomal RNA", at positions 126 to 646 of the family's 3401-position model. The record is from RNAcentral. Lineage: Eukaryota; Fungi; Ascomycota; Saccharomycetes; Saccharomycetales; Saccharomycetaceae.